Molecule: ribosomal RNA, 329 nt
Filed under: uncultured eukaryote
Lineage: Eukaryota
Description: partial 18S ribosomal RNA
Rfam family: Eukaryotic small subunit ribosomal RNA
Source: RNAcentral
CCCUUAGAUGUUCUGGGCCCCACGCGCGCUACACUGAUGCAUUCAACGAGUCUAAAACCUGCUCUGAUAGGGGUGGGUAAUCUUUUGAAUGUGCAUCGUGAUUGGGAUAGAUGAUUGCAAUUUUUCAUCUUCAACGAGGAAUGCCUAGUAAACGCAAGUCAUCAGCUUGCAUUGAUUACGUCCCUGCCCUUUGUACACACCGCCCGUCGCUCCUACCGAUUGAAUGAUCCGAUGAAUAUCAUGGAUUGAGGAUGCAAGCAGGUUCGCCUGUCUUCAUCUUCGAGAAGUGAAGUAAAUCUUAUCAUUUAGAGGAAGGAGAAGUCGUAACA